AUUGAACGCUGGCGGCAUGCUUUACACAUGCAAGUCGAACGGUAGAGGGGGCAACCCCUUGAGAGUGGCGAACGGGUGAGUAAUGCAUCGGAACGUGCCCAGUCGUGGGGGAUAACGCAGCGAAAGCUGUGCUAAUACCGCAUACGAUCUCUGGAUGAAAGCGGGGGACCGAAAGGCCCCGCGCGAUUGGAGCGGCCGAUGUCAGAUUAGGUAGUUGGUGAGGUAAAGGCUCACCAAGCCUGCGAUCUGUAGCUGGUCUGAGAGGACGACCAGCCACACUGGGACUGAGACACGGCCCAGACUCCUACGGGAGGCAGCAGUGGGGAAUUUUGGACAAUGGGCGCAUGCCUGAUCCAGCCAUUCCGCGUGCAGGACGAAGGCCUUCGGGUUGUAAACUGCUUUUGUACGGAACGAAAAGCCUUGGGCUAAUACCCCGAGGUCAUGACGGUACCGUAAGAAUAAGCACCGGCUAACUACGUGCCAGCCGCCGCCGUAA
RNAcentral lists this ribosomal RNA (496 nucleotides) under uncultured bacterium. RNAcentral describes it as "partial 16S ribosomal RNA". It matches the Rfam family "Bacterial small subunit ribosomal RNA", at positions 30 to 523 of the family's 1533-position model. The record is from RNAcentral.